Molecule: ribosomal RNA, 121 nt
Filed under: Helianthus annuus (common sunflower)
Lineage: Eukaryota; Viridiplantae; Streptophyta; Magnoliopsida; Asterales; Asteraceae
Source: RNAcentral
GGUUGUGAUCAUAACAACACUAAUACACCCGAUCCCAUCAGAACUCCGUAGUUAAGCAUGCUUGGGCGAUUGUAGUACUAGGAUGGGUGACCCCCUGGGAAGUCCUCGUGUUGCAACCCCG